GCCUGAUGCAGCGACGCCGCGUGAGGGAUGACGGCCUUCGGGUUGUAAACCUCUUUCAGUAGGGAAGAAGCGAAAGUGACGGUACCUGCAGAAGAAGCGCCGGCUAACUACGUGCCAGCAGCCGCGGUAAUACGUAGGGCGCAAGCGUUAUCCGGAAUUAUUGGGCGUAAAGAGCUCGUAGGCGGUUUGUCGCGUCUGCCGUGAAAGUCCGGGGCUCAACUCCGGAUCUGCGGUGGGUACGGGCAGACUAGAGUGAUGUAGGGGAGACUGGAAUUCCUGGUGUAGCGGUGAAAUGCGCAGAUAUCAGGAGGAACACCGAUGGCGAAGGCAGGUCUCUGGGCAUUAACUGACGCUGAGGAGCGAAAGCAUGGGGAGCGAACAGGAUUAGAUACCCUGGUAGUCCAUGCCGUAAACGUUGGGCACUAGGUGUGGGGGACAUUCCACGUUUUCCGCGCCGUAGCUAACGCAUUAAGUGCCCCGCCUGGGGAGUACGGCCGCAAGGCUAAAACUCAAAGGAAUUGACGGGGGCCCGCACAAGCGGCGGAGCAUGCGGAUUAAUUCGAUGCAACGCGAAGAACCUUACCAAGGCUUGACAUGGACCGGACCGCCGCAGAGAUGUGGUUUCUCCUUUUGGGGCCGGUUCACAGGUGGUGCAUGGUUGUCGUCAGCUCGUGUCGUGAGAUGUUGGGUUAAGUCCCGCAACGAGCGCAACCCUCGUUCCAUGUUGCCAGCGCGUAAUGGCGGGGACUCAUGGGAGACUGCCGGGGUCAACUCGGAGGAAGGUGGGGACGACGUCAAAUCAUCAUGCCCCUUAUGUCUUGGGCUUCACGCAUGCUACAAUGGCCGGUACAAAGGGUUGCGAUACUGUGAGG
This 872-nucleotide ribosomal RNA is filed under the name actinobacterium TP209. RNAcentral describes it as "bacterial SSU rRNA". It matches the Rfam family "Bacterial small subunit ribosomal RNA", at positions 381 to 1262 of the family's 1533-position model. The record is from RNAcentral. Lineage: Bacteria; Bacillati; Actinomycetota; Actinomycetes.